AACAGGAUUAGAUACCCUGGUAGUCCACGCCGUAAACGAUGUCGACUUGGAGGUUGUUCCCUUGAGGAGUGGCUUCCGGAGCUAACGCGUUAAGUCGACCGCCUGGGGAGUACGGCCGCAAGGUUAAAACUCAAAUGAAUUGACGGGGGCCCGCACAAGCGGUGGAGCAUGUGGUUUAAUUCGAUGCAACGCGAAGAACCUUACCUACUCUUGACAUCCAGAGAACUUAGCAGAGAUGCUUUGGUGCCUUCGGGAACUCUGAGACAGGUGCUGCAUGGCUGUCGUCAGCUCGUGUUGUGAAAUGUUGGGUUAAGUCCCGCAACGAGCGCAACCCUUAUCCUUUGUUGCCAGCGGUUCGGCCGGGAACUCAAAGGAGACUGCCAGUGAUAAACUGGAGGAAGGUGGGGAUGACGUCAAGUCAUCAUGGCCCUUACGAGUAGGGCUACACACGUGCUACAAUGGCGCAUACAAAGAGAAGCGACCUCGCGAGAGCAAGCGGACCUCAUAAAGUGCGUCGUAGUCCGGAUCGGAGUCUGCAACUCGACUCCGUGAAGUCGGAAUCGCUAGUAAUCGUAGAUCAGAAUGCUACGGUGAAUACAUUCCCGGGCCUUGUACACACCGCCCGUCACACCAUGGGAGUGGGUUGCAAAAGAAGUAGGUAGCUUAACCUUCGGGAGGGCGCUUACCACUUUGUGAUUCAUGACUGGGGUGAAGUCGUAACAAGGUAACC
This 730-nucleotide ribosomal RNA is filed under the name uncultured bacterium. Its description in RNAcentral is "bacterial SSU rRNA". It matches the Rfam family "Bacterial small subunit ribosomal RNA", at positions 771 to 1501 of the family's 1533-position model. The record is from RNAcentral.